GGGCGAAAGCCUGAUCCAGCAAUGCCGCGUGCAGGGAUGAAGGCCUUCGGGUUGUAAACCUUGCUUUUGUACGGGAACGAAAAAGCUUCUCCUAAUACGAGAGGCGCCACUGGAGCUGGUGAUCCCGUAAGAAUAAGCACCGGCGUAACUACGUGCCAGCAGCCG
This 165-nucleotide ribosomal RNA is filed under the name uncultured bacterium. Its description in RNAcentral is "partial 16S ribosomal RNA". It matches the Rfam family "Bacterial small subunit ribosomal RNA", at positions 373 to 517 of the family's 1533-position model. The record is from RNAcentral.